This 67-nucleotide microRNA precursor is filed under the name Bombyx mori (domestic silkworm). RNAcentral describes it as "mir-2774 microRNA precursor family". It matches the Rfam family "mir-2774 microRNA precursor family". The record is from Rfam by way of RNAcentral. Lineage: Eukaryota; Metazoa; Arthropoda; Insecta; Lepidoptera; Bombycidae.
AUAAGAUUCGGACCGUCAGUCUAUCGAACAAUUUCACCUGAUCGUGGGAAGAUCUUCCCUUUGUCAU